GUCCUGCCCCUGUUAAAUCCUUUCAUGGUCAUUCUUAUUUUGUUCUAUUUGUUGAUGAUUAUACACGUUUCACAUGGGUUUAUUUCUUGAAAAAUAAGAGUGAUGUUUAUAAUACCUUUCUUCAAUUUGAGCAAAUGGUUAUUCGUCAAUUUAAUACCAAAAUUCGUGCUUUUCAUUCUGAUUGGGGUGGUGAGUAUCAAAAAUUGA
Molecule: unclassified non-coding RNA, 207 nt
Filed under: Hevea brasiliensis (rubber tree)
Lineage: Eukaryota; Viridiplantae; Streptophyta; Magnoliopsida; Malpighiales; Euphorbiaceae
Source: RNAcentral